UAUUUUUCUAAUUUGUUCUUAGAAUUCAUACAAGGAGUCUGACGAGUGUAAAUACAUACACUUAUAUAUGUUUAUAUAUAAUUUAGCCUGAGAGGCCUGUAUUUAUUAAGUUUUGGAGACUAGCCGGUGCUGGUCGUGAAGUUGCCAGUUUUUGAGUUGAGCGCUUUUGAGCGAUUGCAUGCAGUAUUAUUUUAUUUUGAAAUUAAAUUGGGGAAGCAUAAAGAAAUAUUUUUAUUUAAUUUAUUUUUGUCCACUCACUCUAACUGUUUCACAUGUUUUCCCCUGGACUCUUCGUUUUAAAUUGCCCAGUCUGCAGAGUUCGGGUUGGAUCUAGUAGGAGGCGAGGCAUAGUCACCCGCAUUUCCGCCAGUUUUCAUCAAUAGGUUACAUGUUUAACCUACUCGUGUUUUCUUGCUUCCGCUAGUGUCUAGUAGCUCUGAAUACUUUGGGAUUAUUGUAUAUUAUGUUUAGAAUUUCUGAAGAUUAAUUAUGUGAUGUUUGGACGUGUUGUAUUAAGAGUGUAAUUUAGAAUUUUCGAGUUAGGGUUGUCCAUUUUCAAGGGAGAUUUAAUCAAUCUUUUCAGUAAAUUUUCCUUAGAGGUGGUCCCCGCACGACUUGCUCCGGGUUUCAGGGUGAAAUUUGGGGUGGGUUGUGUCAGACAUAGUGUAUUGAAGUUUACUGACCCCCAGUAGAAGUUUACUGGGAGACAUUUUUUUUUUUUGCAUAUGCAGUUUAUAAAUGCAAGUUUUUACUACUUAUAUGUAGGAUGGGAAGAAGUUCAAGACAUUUAGUUCUCACUUUUGAUACCGAAGAGGAUUCGGUUCAAAAAUCUGUAGCUUCUAUGAGGACAGAACAAAAGUCGAAGAAAAAGAGAAAAGUGGUCCAAAAGGGUGCCGCUGCUGAAGAAGAAGAAGAAGCAGAACCGGUAGAAGAAGAAGAUGAUGAUUACACUGAAGAUGAAGAGGGGGAAAUAAAAAAGUAUCUUUUUUUGAAAAGAUCAACAUGCAGAGAAAGAAAACAAGCGGAGAUAGAUUCAGGGGAGGAGGAGGAGGAAGAAA
RNAcentral lists this long non-coding RNA (1058 nucleotides) under Fragaria vesca (wild strawberry). RNAcentral describes it as "long non-coding RNA (FVES_LNC005069)". Lineage: Eukaryota; Viridiplantae; Streptophyta; Magnoliopsida; Rosales; Rosaceae. The record is from RNAcentral.